This 245-nucleotide ribosomal RNA is filed under the name Betaproteobacteria bacterium. RNAcentral's name for it is "partial 16S ribosomal RNA". It matches the Rfam family "Bacterial small subunit ribosomal RNA", at positions 1292 to 1533 of the family's 1533-position model. Lineage: Bacteria; Pseudomonadati; Pseudomonadota; Betaproteobacteria. The record is from RNAcentral.
UCCGGAUUGCAGUCUGCAACUCGACUGCAUGAAGUCGGAAUCGCUAGUAAUCGCGGAUCAGCAUGUCGCGGUGAAUACGUUCCCGGGUCUUGUACACACCGCCCGUCACACCAUGGGAGUGGGUUUUGCCAGAAGUGGGUAGCUUAACCGCAAGGAGGGCGCUUACCACGGCAGGGCUCAUGACUGGGGUGAAGUCGUAACAAGGUAGCCGUAUCGGAAGGUGCGGCUGGAUCACCUCCUUUCUG